This 492-nucleotide ribosomal RNA is filed under the name uncultured bacterium. RNAcentral describes it as "partial 16S ribosomal RNA". It matches the Rfam family "Bacterial small subunit ribosomal RNA", at positions 29 to 507 of the family's 1533-position model. The record is from RNAcentral.
AGUGAACGCUGGCGGUAGGCCUAACACAUGCAAGUCGAACGGCAGCACAGCAAGAGCUUGCUCUUACGGGUGGCGAGUGGCGGACGGGUGAGGAAUACAUCGGAAUCUACUUUUUCGUGGGGGAUAACGUAGGGAAACUUACGCUAAUACCGCAUACGACCUACGGGUGAAAGCAGGGGAUCUUCGGACCUUGCGCGAUUGAAUGAGCCGAUGUCGGAUUAGCUAGUUGGCGGGGUAAAGGCCCACCAAGGCGACGAUCCGUAGCUGGUCUGAGAGGAUGAUCAGCCACACUGGAACUGAGACACGGUCCAGGCUCCUACGGGAGGCAGCAGUGGGGAAUAUUGGACAAUGGGCGCAAGCCUGAUCCAGCCAUACCGCGUGGGUGAAGAAGGCCUUCGGGUUGUAAAGCCCUUUUGUUGGGAAAGAAAAGCAGCAGGUUAAUACCCCGCCGUUCUGACGGUACCCAAAGAAUAAGCACCGGCUAACUUCGUG